AACAGAACUGUGGGGACAUUUGUGGAAAGCACAGGCGCGGAACGGAAAGCCGCGUGCAAGCGAAGGAGGAGUCACAUAGGAAAAACCGUGUGGCAAUCCAAAGGCGUGAUGCGGACCGAAUGAAAGUAGGGAAGUGUGUGAGCCAUGAAUCAAGAAAAGCCGCUAUUGUUUUUAAGAUACCCGUACCGUANACCGACACAGGUGGAUGAGGAGAGAAUCCUAAGGCCGGCGGAAGAAGCAUUGUUAAGGAACUCGGCAAAAUGACCCCGUAACUUCGGGAGAAGGGGUGCCAACGAGAGUUGGCCGCAGAGAAUAGGCUCAAGCAACUGUUUAGCAAAAACACAGGUCUAUGCAAAACCGUAAGGUGAGGUAUAUGGGCUGACGCCUGCCCGGUGCUGGAAGGUUAAGAAGAGAGGUUAGCGCAAGCGAAGCUUUGAAUUUAAGCCCCAGUAAACGGCGGCCGUAACUAUAACGGUCCUAAGGUAGCGAAAUUCCUUGUCGGGUAAGUUCCGACCCGCACGAAAGGCGUAAUGAUUUGAGCGCUGUCUCGACAAUGCAUCCGGUGAAAUUGAAGUACCAGUGAAGAUGCUGGUUACCCGCGCCAGGACGGAAAGACCCCAUGGAGCUUUACUCCAGUUUGGUACUGGGGUCCGGCAGUGCAUGUACAGGAUAGGUGGGAGGCUGUGAACCUGGAACGCCAGUUUCAGGGGAGCCGGUGUUGGGAUACCACCCUUGUGCUGCUGGGCUUCUAACCAGCGGCCUUUAUCAGGCCGGGGGACAAUGCCAGACGGGGAGUUUGACUGGGGCGGUCGCCUCCGAAAGGGUAUCGGAGGCGCUCAAAGGUUCCCUCAGAAUGGUCGGAAACCAUUCGAAGAGUGCAAAGGCAGAAGGGAGCUUGACUGCGACACCGACGGGUGGAGCAGGUACGAAAGUAGGACUUAGUGAUCCGGUGGUAUUAAGUGGGAAAGCCAUCGCUCAACGGAUAAAAGCUACCCUGGGGAUAACAGGCUUAUCACUCCCAAGAGUUCACAUCGACGGAGUGGUUUGGCACCUCGAUGUCGGCUCAUCGCAUCCNGGGGCUGUAGUAGGUCCCAAGGGUUGGGCUGUUCGCCCAUUAAAGCGGUACGCGAGCUGGGUUCAGAACGUCGUGAGACAGUUCGGUCCCUAUCCGGCGUGGGCGUAGGAUAUUUGAGAGGAGCUGUCCUUAGUACGAGAGGACCGGGAUGGACUGACCUCUGGUGUACCGGUUGAACCGCCAGGUUCACGGCCGGGUAGCCAAGUCGGGAAGGGAUAAACGCUGAAGGCAUCUAAGCGUGAAGCCCCCCUCAAGAUGAGAUAUCCCAUUCUUUAAGAAGUAAGACCCCUUGAAGACGACGAGGUAGAUAGGGCAGAGGUGGUACAGCCGUAAGGCAUGGAGCUGACUGUUACUAAU
This 1432-nucleotide ribosomal RNA is filed under the name human gut metagenome. Its description in RNAcentral is "bacterial LSU rRNA". It matches the Rfam family "Bacterial large subunit ribosomal RNA", at positions 1454 to 2905 of the family's 2925-position model. The record is from RNAcentral.